GACGAACGCUGGCGGCGUGCUUAACACAUGCAAGUCGAACGGAAAGGCCCUGCUUUUGUGGGGUGCUCGAGUGGCGAACGGGUGAGUAACACGUGAGUAACCUGCCCUUGACCUUGGGAUAACUUCAGGAAACUGGGGCUAAUACCGGAUAGGAGCUCCUGCUGCAUGGUGGGGGUUGGAAAGUUUCGGCGGUUGGGGAUGGACCCGCGGCUUAUCAGCUUGUUGGUGGGGUAGUGGCUUACCAAGGCCUUGACGGGUAGCCGGCCUGAGAGGGUGACCGGCCACAUUGGGACUGAGAUACGGCCCAGACUCCUACGGGAGGCAGCAGUGGGGAAUAUUGCACAAUGGGCGGAAGCCUGAUGCAGCAACGCCGCGUGCGGGAGGACGGCCUUCGGGUUGUAAACCGCUUUCGCCUGUGACGAAGCGUGAGUGACGGUAAUGGGGAAAGAAGCACCGGCUAACUACGU
RNAcentral lists this ribosomal RNA (467 nucleotides) under uncultured bacterium. Its description in RNAcentral is "partial 16S ribosomal RNA". It matches the Rfam family "Bacterial small subunit ribosomal RNA", at positions 28 to 506 of the family's 1533-position model. The record is from RNAcentral.